AAGAGGGGAUUUCCCUCAAACCCUAAAAUUCACAAAAAUCCAUCAAUUGAAGGUGCAAAUCAAGUCCGAAUUGAAAUCUGAAUAUAGGGUUGUGAUCAUCUUGACUAAGAGAUUGUAAGGCAACACGAGUGAGGCGUCGGGAAGUCAAGCCGGUGCGGACGCUCGCCAAAAGGGAAAGCUCUAAGAUUUCAAGUAAGUUAAUCAAGCGGAUGGUGAUCAACUCAAGACCAUGAACCGAACACAUUCAAGAAGAUGAUCUUCACUUUUGUUUUAGGAGUUCAUUUUGUGAAAACUUUUGUAUUGAAAGAAUGACUUAUGUGUCCCUUAAGUUUAGUGGUUGUUUUCAGACACUU
Helianthus annuus (common sunflower) is the source of this 353-nucleotide long non-coding RNA. RefSeq lists it as uncharacterized. Lineage: Eukaryota; Viridiplantae; Streptophyta; Magnoliopsida; Asterales; Asteraceae. The record is from RefSeq and is a predicted model, not a curated record. The transcript is spliced from 3 exons.